GCUACGGGAGGCAGCAGUGAGGAAUAUUGGUCAAUGGACGCAAGUCUGAACCAGCCAUGCCGCGUGCAGGAAGACGGCUCUAUGAGUUGUAAACUGCUUUUGUACGAGGGUAAACGCAGAUACGCGUAUCUGUCUGAAAGUAUCGUACGAAUAAGCCUCGGCUAACUACGUGCCAGCAGCCGCGGUAAUACGUAGGAGGCAAGCGUUAUCCGGGAUGACUGGGCGUAAAGGGUGCGUAGGUGGUUCAGCAAGUUAGUAGCGUAACUCCGGGGCUCAACCUCGGCACUACUACUAAAACUGUUUGACUUGAGGGCAGGAGGGGCAACUGGAAUUCCUAGUGUAGCGGUGGAAUGCGUAGAUAUUAGGAGGAACACCAGUGGCGAAGGCGAGUUGCUGGACUGUAACUGACACUGAGGCACGAAAGCGUGGGGAGCAAACAGGAUUAGAUACCCUUGUAGUC
Molecule: ribosomal RNA, 460 nt
Filed under: uncultured bacterium
Lineage: Bacteria
Description: partial 16S ribosomal RNA
Rfam family: Bacterial small subunit ribosomal RNA
Source: RNAcentral